CCUACGGGAUGCAGCAGGCGCGAAACCUCUGCAAUGCGGGAAACCGUGACAGGGGGAUCCCAAGUGCUCAUGCAUUGCAUGGGCUGUUCUUUGGUCUAAGUAACCAGAGGAGUAAGGGCUGGGCAAGACCGGUGCCAGCCGCCGCGGUAAUACCGGCAGCUCAAGUGGUAGCCGCGAUUAUUGGGCCUAAAGCGUUCGUAGCCGGAUAAGUAAGUCUUUGGUUAAAUCCUGCAACUCAACUGUGGGAAAUCUAGGGAUACUGCUUGUCUUGAGACCGGGAGAGGUUAGAGGUACUCCUAGGGUAGGGGUGAAAUCCUGUAAUCCUAGGGGGACCACCUGUGGCGAAGGCGUCUAACUGGAACGGGUCUGACGGUGAGGGACGAAACCUAGGGGAGCGAGCCGGAUUAGAUACCCCGGUAGUCC
Molecule: ribosomal RNA, 423 nt
Filed under: uncultured Thermoplasmata archaeon
Lineage: Archaea; Methanobacteriati; Thermoplasmatota; Thermoplasmata
Description: bacterial SSU rRNA
Rfam family: Archaeal small subunit ribosomal RNA
Source: RNAcentral